Molecule: long non-coding RNA, 1773 nt
Filed under: Gossypium barbadense (sea-island cotton)
Lineage: Eukaryota; Viridiplantae; Streptophyta; Magnoliopsida; Malvales; Malvaceae
Description: long non-coding RNA (GBAR_LNC018718)
Source: RNAcentral
UAAAAUAUCAUAAUAUUAACUAAUUUGAACAUUAUUUAAAUAUAUAUUUGUUACUUUAUACUAUCAUGUCUAAAAUUGACAUUUUAUUUCUCAAAAGCACUUUUUGACAGUAAUACCGAACACGAAAAUUUCUCAAAAGCACUUUUCAAAAGCAAUGAAGAACUGGCCCUCAAAGCUGUCAUGCGAGCCUCUGCCCAUGUCGAGUCGAAACUAUAAAAGGCUUUCAUCGCCAUUUUACCCAAGACCAUAUUGUCCUCGUCUCGUGCUAUACACCCAAGUCCGGUCGUACGCGUGCUAGCAUCCCAUGCAGCAUCAGCAUUAAUUUUCACAUGGCUCGGGCCUAGGGCUCGCCACCAUUCAACCUGCGGCUGCCUUGGCAGAUGAUCAUCAAAUUAUGGACACGAAACUUCUCAUGUAGUGAUAGCGCAAAGUUUAUUGGAGGAGGAGGAGGAGGAGGAGGGGAGUGAGGGUUUGAAAAUAGAAAGAUGAGAUGGGAGAAAAAAGUUAGAGAUUAGGAAUAAUGAAUACUAUACUUUUUUUUCCUUAAAAAAUCCUAUACCGAUGAAUGUGUAAACUUUAUCAAGGUAAAUUAGAUUUUUAUUGACGAAUUUGAAGUAAUCUCCAAUACAUCACACUCUAUGAUAGUUUUAACUUAUAUUGAUACUUAAUAAAUUGUGUUAGUAUACUCCCUUUUUAUUGACAAAUUUAAUCCACAUAUGUUUCAAUUAAUGGAAAAUUUUAAUAGUAUCACAUCAAACAAGUUUGAGGAUCACUAAUACUCAAAUCAACAGGUUUUUUUCAAUACAACUGUUCCUAUAACUCUUUGAAAUUUAUCACAGGAACUAAGAGAAGCAUCAGAAAUUAAUAUGGAAGAAAUAGCAAAGGGAACAACAUCCUCAGAAUACCUGUUUGCAUAGAACAAAGCUACCCUAAAAAGGAAAUGAACCGCCCUUUUAAUAUCCCACCACGUCCAAGGCAAUCUAAUUCAAUAAAUAUCUUAUCAAAAUGUUGAGCCUUUAAACUAAGAGUGUUGGACUAAAUACGUUAGCGAACAAAUAUAAAUAUAAAUAUUUAUAUUAAAUACAAGAUCAGAGCGAAUAAUAUAAACAAAUAUUUAUAUUUAUAUAAAAACACUAGAUCUAAACAAAAUAAAUUAAAUAAAUAAGAUAUUGAAAAAUCAUAAAUCGAAUGAGGGAAUCGAGUUUUAUUAGCUUGUUUUCACAGUUUCUUUAAGACAGAUUCAACUACCCCUAUUGUACUUGGAAAAACUCUACUUGUCUAUCUCCUAAAAUACUACAACAAAAUGAUCGCGGCAGUAGUACCUCUAUAGUGAUCACCGAACAAACCUUACCUUCUUCUAUUACCGUGACUGUGACCGUAAAUUCUACAAUCUUCGAAGGAGGGUGGUCAUUAUUCUUCCACAAGACCACCAAAAUAAGGUCCCGCUGCCGAAUAUCAGAAAUAGAUAACAUAGAAGCAAUAAAAUUCUUCACCGAAUCAGUUUGCACUACAACACCAAAGCAGUACAUGUUCAAGAGAUUCACUUCCUCCACACCUUAUCCAACUAUCAUCAACGAUACACCCUUUUGUCUUUCAAACGACCUUUGCAAGGAACAAAAUUACGAAUACACCGUCACAGAAAAUCCAACACCUUCGGUGGCAACUUAGCAGUCCAAAGCUUAAGCCAAGAAAAAUCCAUAUAAUGAUGGUUUCUUAACUUAUGUUGUAGUGUUAAAAAACUCUAGUGUACCAUAUGAUAAUAACAUUUGAUAC